Molecule: ribosomal RNA, 253 nt
Filed under: uncultured bacterium
Lineage: Bacteria
Description: partial 16S ribosomal RNA
Rfam family: Bacterial small subunit ribosomal RNA
Source: RNAcentral
UACGAAGGGGGCUAGCGUUGCUCGGAAUUACUGGGCGUGAAGCGUGCGUAGGCGGUUUGUUAAGUCUGUCGUGAAAGCCCCGGGCUCAACCUGGGAAUGGCGAUGGAUACUGGCGAGCUAGAGUACGGUAGAGGAGAGUGGAAUUCCCGGUGUAGCAGUGAAAUGCGUAGAGAUCGGGAGGAACAUCAGUUGCGAAGGCGGCUCUCUGGACCAGUACUGACGCUGAGGCACGAAAGCGUGGGGAGCAAACAGG